This 331-nucleotide ribosomal RNA is filed under the name uncultured Bacillota bacterium. RNAcentral describes it as "bacterial SSU rRNA". It matches the Rfam family "Bacterial small subunit ribosomal RNA", at positions 28 to 351 of the family's 1533-position model. Lineage: Bacteria; Bacillati; Bacillota. The record is from RNAcentral.
GAUGAACGCUGGCGGCGUGCCUAAUACAUGCAAGUCGAGCGAAUGAAGAGGAGCUUGCUCCUCUGAUUUAGCGGCGGACGGGUGAGUAACACGUGAGCAACCUGCCUUCAGCUGGGGAAUAACAUUGGGAAACCAGUGCUAAUACCGCAUGACAUCACGAGAGGACAUCCUCUUGUGAUCAAAGGAUUUCGAUCCGGGCCGAAGAUGGGCUCGCGUCCGAUUAGUUAGUUGGUGAGGUAACGGCUCACCAAGACCGCGAUCGGUAGCCGAACUGAGAGGUUGAUCGGCCACAUUGGGACUGAGACACGGCCCAGACUCCUACGGGAGGCAG